Sus scrofa (pig) is the source of this 2456-nucleotide non-coding RNA. The record is from RefSeq and is a predicted model, not a curated record. Lineage: Eukaryota; Metazoa; Chordata; Mammalia; Artiodactyla; Suidae.
ACUCAGAUUCAUUCGACCCCUAGCCUCAGAUUCAUUCGACCCCUUACCUCCAUAUGCUGUAGGUGCGGCCCUUAAAAAAAAAUUAUUCUUUUGUUCAGCAAACAUUUAUUGAGCUCCACCAAUCCUGGGCCCCAGAGAUGAACAAGAUGGAUACGGUCACUUCCCUUAAGAAGUUUGGGUUUGAAUUGGGAAGCUUUUUGAGAAAGCCAGUGGCUGAAAAUCAGUUUAGAAGUGCUCUAGUGAACACUCAGGAAAUCUUUUGGAGCAGAGUCCCUGGUCUCAGAGAAGCUUCCUGAGGGGCUCCUCGUUGGUCCUCACUUAAAGGGUAACCAGAAGUCAGAGUCCUCCUACUGUGAGAUCCAAGUCGAGUACAUUCAUCUGACCAGAUGCUCCACUUCUUCCAGUGCACAUGUUCAGACCUCUGACUGACACCCAGAGGCAUUGGUGCCAUUGCCUAGUGCUCCACUAAACCACUAUUGGAUUUUCACUCCCUAUAUUUAGCAAUAGAAAGGUGAGAUUUUAAACAUUCUGACUUCUCUUUUCUCUUUUCUUUUUUUAUAAUAAUGCCAACUGAGGAUACUAGGGCCAUGUUACCUGCAUGUAACUUGAUUGGUUUUUGAGUCAGCCCCAGGAUGACUUUUUCUUUUUUAAUCAGUUGCAUAAUUGUGUCUAAUCAUGAUACUUCAUAUGUCCACAUUUGUAAAUAGUAUGUGUGUAUUGUAUUGUUUAUUUAAAUAAAUUCAGAAGUUAGUUAUCUGUGAUUUGGGGCAAAUAGGAAUGGUGGUGUCAGUCUUCCCUUUUGUAAGGGUUGGUUAACAAUAGCUGUUAUUUAUCUGAUUAAAUGUUUAAUGUUUAUGAAACACGUGUUUUAUUAGAAAUAUUAUUAUGAUCAUUCAUAUGAUCUGCAAAUCAUUAGUACCCAUUGUAGAUGAAUACAGCUGUGGGAAAGAUCACAUUUUUAUACAAAUCGUGACGUAGAUGGCUUUAACUUAUUUGAAUCCCACACUUUCAUUGCAGGCUUGUGGGGGUUACAGCCACUCAAAAAUAUCUAUUUUGCUUCCUUCCUCUCAGUUAAGACCAUCCCAUCAUCAAAGCGCUGUGCUAAUUUGGCCUCUUCUAGUUAAAGCCGAGAGGAGAAAUCCUUCUCUAAGGACCAAUACCAAAAACAAGCUUAUGUUUAAUUUAGAGGCGCUUUGAGUUUUGGAGGAGAGGAAACUGUAACUCCUCAGCAGACGUCAAGAGCACGCCCACUUUGUUUGAAAGCUCGUUGAAAAGAAUUAUGACUCGUUUUGUCCUUGGCACUACACCAAAGGCCAACGUUCCAUUUGGAUAACCCUUCAUUGUCAGUUUUAUUCUCAAGCUUCUUAGGGUAAGAAUCACAGGUAUAUAUGCAAUUUGACAAAACUAAAGGAAGCAAGUAGACAUGGGUGUGUUUUUUUGGUCUGUCCCUGCCUCUCUCCUCUUCCCAGUUUUGUCCAUCAUAAUGUACAUGGAAUUAAAUUUGAUUUCAUCAUCCAUUUCCUUUUCUCUACGCUGCUAGAGAAUCUGUGGGUUCUCACUCACUAGCUACAGCUGAUCUAGAGAAAACAGGUUGUGUCCCUCUUCUGAGAGCAGGACCAUCUCCAUGGCUCAGUGCCUUGUGUUUGUUAGCAGUUGGCAUUCUGGAAAAGACAUGAGCUAUAUUCCUGAGUGAUAAAAUACCUGGAUAAGGACCACUUCCUAAUUCCGUAGGAAUUCAGACAAAAUGAUUUGUGAAAUCUUCAAGGUCUGUAUCUAUGAGUUUUGGUUUGCUCUGGUCUUAUCUUGCUCUUGAGGUGUUUCUUUUUUUAUAUGCCUUUGUGUAUUUUCACUCUUUUCUCUUUCUUUCUGAAACACAGAUUCCGUGGUCGCAAAAUCAAAUCAGCCAUGUGGCUGAUGCUGUUUUGCCUUUUCUGCUUUGUUAAUUGUUCUGGGGCUUGUUCUGUUUACUGUUUUUGCAGACCUUAUUUGCCAUGGUCCUUGCCUUUCAUUCUCCUAGACCAUGUAUUUGAUUUCCCAGUGGGGAAAAGACUGCCUUUUCACUGGGUAAUUAGUUAUCUCAUUUCAAGAGGACCAAGUUUCUCCGAGAUGACUUUGUCACAUUUUAAAUGUCUGCUUGGGAGAGUGAAGCCCAUUUAGCUACAUGCUCAUCCAUGUGGUGGGAGAAACACAUGGUUAGUCACCAUGGAAAUUCUGAAGGGUUUGAAGGGCAGAAGAUAGUUAAUGAGACCAUUUAUACUCAGCUCUUGGGAGAUUAUGAGUUAGUUUAUAGUGAUAAGAAACCAAAGUAAGAGAGAAUAUUUUUCAGCCCCAUGAGGAAGUGGUAGUGGUGUUUAUUCCUAAAGUGUGUUUUCAUUUGCUGAAAGAGGACUCUGUGGCACUUUAUGUUGACUAAUUUUUGCAUAAUCUCUUGCUACGUAAGCAAGAACACCCCCCCC